Molecule: ribosomal RNA, 681 nt
Filed under: uncultured Actinomycetes bacterium
Lineage: Bacteria; Bacillati; Actinomycetota; Actinomycetes
Description: bacterial SSU rRNA
Rfam family: Bacterial small subunit ribosomal RNA
Source: RNAcentral
CGAACAGGAUUAGAUACCCUGGUAGUCCACGCCGUAAACGUUGGGCGCUAGAUGUGGGUCACAUUCCACGUGAUCCGUGUCGCAGCUAACGCAUUAAGCGCCCCGCCUGGGGAGUACGGCCGCAAGGCUAAAACUCAAAGGAAUUGACGGGGGCCCGCACAAGCGGCGGAGCAUGCGGAUUAAUUCGAUGCAACGCGAAGAACCUUACCAAGGCUUGACAUAUACAGGAAAACUGCAGAAAUGUAGUCCCCCGCAAGGGUCUGUAUACAGGUGGUGCAUGGUUGUCGUCAGCUCGUGUCGUGAGAUGUUGGGUUAAGUCCCGCAACGAGCGCAACCCUCGUCCUAUGUUGCCAGCACGUUAUGGUGGGAACUCAUGGGAGACUGCCGGGGUCAACUCGGAGGAAGGUGGGGAUGACGUCAAAUCAUCAUGCCCCUUAUGUCUUGGGCUUCACGCAUGCUACAAUGGCCGGUACAAAGGGCUGCAAUACCGCAAGGUGGAGCGAAUCCCAAAAAGCCGGUCUCAGUUCGGAUUGAGGUCUGCAACUCGACCUCAUGAAGUCGGAGUCGCUAGUAAUCGCAGAUCAGCAACGCUGCGGUGAUACGUUCCCGGGCCUUGUACACACCGCCCGUCAAGUCACGAAAGUCGGUAACACCCGAAGCCGGUGGCCUAACCGUAAGGAA